RNAcentral lists this unclassified non-coding RNA (402 nucleotides) under fungal sp. RNAcentral describes it as "partial internal transcribed spacer region". The stretch from base 1 to 46 matches the Rfam family "Eukaryotic small subunit ribosomal RNA", at positions 1786 to 1831 of the family's 1831-position model. The record is from RNAcentral. Lineage: Eukaryota; Fungi.
AAGUCGUAACAAGGUUUCCGUAGGUGAACCUGCGGAAGGAUCAUUAAUACGUAUCCAACGUUAAACCCCCCCUGUGAACUUUUACACUUGCUUCGAAGCGCGCUGGAAUUGCAAUCCCUGGUAAAUCAUUGUUGAACAGGUUUUGAUUCAGGGACCUCAGUUCUGGAGUAGCCUAGUUGAGCGAUCGUGCGCAAGUAACCUGGUUUCCCCAAGCAGUCAGUGUCUGAAAGUGUCAUUGAUUGUGUAAGGAUAACGCUUUUCGAUCACUGGAGGCCGACACCGGCCGGUGGACAGGUUGCAGUGGCUUCACGGCCCCAUAUUAACCCCACUACCUGUACCGGCCUCGUAGGAAACUACUGGGCAACAAACGAACAACUGUUAACAAUGGAUAUCUUGGUUCUC